This 523-nucleotide ribosomal RNA is filed under the name Alternaria infectoria. Its description in RNAcentral is "eukaryotic LSU rRNA". The stretch from base 202 to 355 matches the Rfam family "5.8S ribosomal RNA". The record is from RNAcentral. Lineage: Eukaryota; Fungi; Ascomycota; Dothideomycetes; Pleosporales; Pleosporaceae.
AUCAUUACACAAUAACAAGGCGGGCUGGACACCCCCCGCUGGGCACUGCUUCACGGCGUGCGCGGCGGGGCCGGCCCUGCUGAAUUAUUCACCCGUGUCUUUUGCGUACUUCUUGUUUCCUGGGUGGGCUCGCCCGCCCUCAGGACCAACCACAAACCUUUUGCAAUAGCAAUCAGCGUCAGUAACAACGUAAUUAAUUACAACUUUCAACAACGGAUCUCUUGGUUCUGGCAUCGAUGAAGAACGCAGCGAAAUGCGAUACGUAGUGUGAAUUGCAGAAUUCAGUGAAUCAUCGAAUCUUUGAACGCACAUUGCGCCCUUUGGUAUUCCAAAGGGCAUGCCUGUUCGAGCGUCAUUUGUACCCUCAAGCUUUGCUUGGUGUUGGGCGUCUUUUGUCUCCAGUUCGCUGGAGACUCGCCUUAAAGUCAUUGGCAGCCGGCCUACUGGUUUCGGAGCGCAGCACAAGUCGCGCUCUUCGCCAGCCAAGGUCAGCGUCCAGCAAGCCUUUUUUUUCAACCUUUGA